GGAAUAUUGCACAAUGGGGGAAACCCUGAUGCAGCGACGCCGCGUGAGUGAUGAAGUAUUUCGGUAUGUAAAGCUCUAUCAGCAGGGAAGAAAAUGACGGUACCUGACUAAGAAGCCCCGGCUAACUACGUGCCAGCAGCCGCGGUAAUACGUAGGGGGCAAGCGUUAUCCGGAUUUACUGGGUGUAAAGGGAGCGCAGACGGCUUGGCAAGUCUGAAGUGAAACCCCGCAGCUCAACUGCGGGCUUGCUUUGGAAACUGCUUCGCUAGAGUGUCGGAGGGGUAAGCGGAAUUCCUAGUGUAGCGGUGAAAUGCGUAGAUAUUAGGAGGAACACCGGUGGCGAAGGCGGCUUACUGGACGACAACUGACGUUGAGGCUCGAAAGCGUGGGGAGCAAACA
RNAcentral lists this ribosomal RNA (399 nucleotides) under uncultured Syntrophococcus sp. RNAcentral describes it as "bacterial SSU rRNA". It matches the Rfam family "Bacterial small subunit ribosomal RNA", at positions 358 to 774 of the family's 1533-position model. The record is from RNAcentral. Lineage: Bacteria; Bacillati; Bacillota; Clostridia; Lachnospirales; Lachnospiraceae.